CGGGACGGGUGAGUAAUGUCUGGGAAACUGCCUGAUGGAGGGGGGUAACUAUUGGAAACGGUAGCUAAUACCGCAUAACGUCGCAAGACCAAAGAGGGGGACCUUCGGGCCUCUUGCCAUCGGAUGUGCCCAGAUGGGAUUAGCUAGUAGGUGGGGUAACGGCUCACCUAGGCGACGAUCCCUAGCUGGUCUGAGAGGAUGCCAGCCACACUGGAACUGAGACACGGUCCAG
This 232-nucleotide ribosomal RNA is filed under the name uncultured bacterium. Its description in RNAcentral is "partial 16S ribosomal RNA". It matches the Rfam family "Bacterial small subunit ribosomal RNA", at positions 100 to 334 of the family's 1533-position model. The record is from RNAcentral.